UGAAAGCCCUGGAGACUGAAGUCCACUCUUUAUCCACAGGACAUGGACAGCAGAGACAAUGGCAUGCAAGUGUCCUCAAAUUGAUCCACAACUGUAUCUUAACCUGGGACCUGAGCCCUGAAAGCCCAAGUCAGCUGACCUAGGUCAGCCAGGGAUUUUUAUGUAGAUGUGCU
RNAcentral lists this small RNA (173 nucleotides) under Gopherus agassizii (Agassiz's desert tortoise). RNAcentral's name for it is "TUC338 (ENSGAGG00000012525.1)". The record is from RNAcentral. Lineage: Eukaryota; Metazoa; Chordata; Testudines; Testudinidae.